Molecule: small nucleolar RNA, 152 nt
Organism: Coturnix japonica (Japanese quail)
Lineage: Eukaryota; Metazoa; Chordata; Aves; Galliformes; Phasianidae
Product: small nucleolar RNA SNORA70
Source: RefSeq, a predicted model, not a curated record
CCGCAGUUAAUUAAGCCGGCCGUGGCCCCUUCAUUUCAAUGGGGUCCCGGCGUGCAAUGGCUGCGCACAGUGACCCCCCCCCGGCUGUGUAGGGCGCCCUAUAGGGCACACAGUCACUAUAUAGGGCGCCCAUAGGGGCCGGGGGGACAUAA